Molecule: long non-coding RNA, 6562 nt
Organism: Gasterosteus aculeatus aculeatus (three-spined stickleback)
Lineage: Eukaryota; Metazoa; Chordata; Actinopteri; Perciformes; Gasterosteidae
Source: Ensembl
CAACACGGACUGACGGACACAUACAGGCGUGCAGCAUCAAGAUGCCGCUGGAUAUUAUUCAUCUCGGUGAUACGGGAAUCUGCAAAGCUAAUGUGCACGUUUGUGGUUGGACUCAAAAUUCCAUUCAAAAGAGCGGCUAUUUAAUGUGGACUCGGCUACUGGCACACCGUUAUUCACCAUCAAAUAUCAUACUAGACACCAAGUUAAUGCACGCAGGUAUCCGUCCGUCCCUGUGCUGCUGUGUUCUUGUGUUCUCUUGGAUUCAAUGAUGGAGACCAUCACCUGACUCACACAGGGGAUUCACCACAAAAUCACACAAAAUUAUUUCCUGCACGCAAGUUUACCAAAAACUCCUGCUGGGCCUCCGGCAGCGCCCCCGUGUGGACGGACAUCUAUACGGCAGCACUGUGAGGGAGGUGGGGAGCAGGGCUCCUCUGCUCACAGGACCUUUAUUUAAUGGAGAAUGGUUGAAACAUCUGUGUGGCCUUUGCCUUUAAUGGGACCUUUUCUGGUUAAAUACUGGACUUUGUAUGUUACUUAUACCUUUCUAUUCGUUUCAGGGGUCGUUGUAAAGUCUCUCUCUUGGCUAAAAAACUAUCAAUGUGGUUUAUGAGGCAGUAUUAUAAGAAUGCAAUUGUGAAUGAUGAAAUCUUGUGUCUACACAUAUUUAGUAUUCGUCUUUAGUAUUCUAUGUUAAAAGGGUUAGAAAUUCUGAACACUAGUCGGCGCUGUUCGGCAUCUGGAGGUGAGAGGGUAUAAAGUGAGGGAGAGAAGAGGGUAAAAUGAUGUUAAUGCUACACUAUUAUUCCACAUGUAUUGUUCAGUUUAUAUAACAUUCAAAAUGACACCAGACCUUGGCAUUACUUUAACAGUAAAAAUAAUUCCUUAUUUUACAGAAGAGACAAUUAAAUCUAUCAUACAGCAGUUCACACUCAGCCAAACAGCAGCUACACUAGAGGCAGACUCAGUAGGAUAAGUCUAAUUCUAAUAUAGAUAUAAGUAUACAGUACAUGUAGUAUUACCCGGCACUUACAUGAAUGUAAAGUUCUGUUGUUCAAUAAACAUUAACUAUAAAUGAUCAUACGACAUUUAUGCUCAUUUAUUUAAGGAUCAUUCAUCUAUUUGUUUGUUUUACUAUUAUGUGACCAGUGUCCCGAGGCUUGUGUUGUCAUUCUGAAUUAUUAAGUGACAUCACAUUGCACUGUGCAGCAGUAACAUUGUUAACUCAACAUAACGUGUGAAUCAGUGUGUCAUCACAAACCGCAGGUUCUCCACGCUGCAGACGUCACACGCACACAAUAUCUCAAUAAAGCAACAUCGAUUGCAGGAAGAGAGCGAGCGUGUAGGAGGUUAUCAAGUGUUUCUGUGCAAAGAGAAUAAAUGCAACAGCCCACUAAUCCCCCGAAAGGUUGGAUAAGACGGUCGCAGAUGACAGAUGUGCUUUCCUCAUGUGUGUGUGUGUGUGUGUGUGUGUGUGCGUGAGAGAGCGAUGUACUGUGUUUUCCUGCCUCCGUCCUAUAAUAAGUGUGUCAGUGCGAGAUUGUGAGGCUGAACAUUUGUGUGUUGCAAAUGCCGCUAAAGCUGCUGUUUUGUGAUUGGCUGCUGCCCACACACACACACUCAAUAUGCACCCCGCUGGCCCUGAGAUGUGAGAGAGGGAGGGAGAGAGGGUGAUGUAAAGGGUAAAGACAGCAGUAAUAUAAGAGAGGAGAGAGCUACAACGCUGUAGGAGGAGAACGCGAGCUCCCAGUGAUCCCAGUGAUCCCAGUGAUCCCAGUGGACGUCACACCAGCUGAACCGCUGGAGCAGCAGAGAGCAACAGCUGGGCUAAGGCGGACGCCAGCUGAGCUAACGGAUGGUAACCCCGACAACGAUAACUAUAACGACUCCGCCCGUCCAGGACAGUCAUCAGAUCCAGUUACCAUGGAGAGCAGUUCAUCUCCACCGGCAACACACACGGAUAGUGAAAACUCGGGGCAAAGCCUUUGGGGCGACCAGGAAGCGGAGGAGCACCAUUACACAGAGGUCCAUGGGCUGAAGCAGCCAAUCGGGGACGAGCAGGACGAAGAAGAGGCUGCAGGGAAAGAAAAUGUCGUCAGGGAUGCAGAUGAGUGUGAUUACCUUGUGUUUGCAAUCGGAGAGCGAAAUGGGAAUGAUAAAGGAGAUGAAAGUGGACAGGACACGGGUAGAGGAGGAGAUAAGGUAGAAGAUGGAGAAAGAGGGGAAACAGAAGGAAAGGAAGAAGGAAGUGGAGCUACAGUGAGGGAAGAUGGAGGAAGAGGAGGUGAAAAAGAAGAGGAUGAAUGCAUAGGAGAGACAGUGGGCGAGAUGAGUAAUGAUGCUCCGUCAAAGCUCCUCCUCAUCUCUUGCAGCCCGGAGCGUCUUUCAUCAUCAGAGCCCCUGAUGGUCCCCUCAUGUCCCUCAGAGCAGCCCAUGGAGGCCAUGUUGCAAGAGGCCUUAGGUCACAACAUUGGCGAAAGAGAUGACCUCAGUGACGUCCAGCACACAGGCUUCCCCCAAGCUGAGGUGGCUAGUGUGUACUCGGACAGCGACGCAGGGGACGGCCAGUGGGCUAGCUUUGCACGCUGUGAUGUCACCAACCAGGAAGAAGCAGGCGGAGGAAUUCACAAUACCACCUGUGAAGGAGAGAGCAAGGAAGAGGAGGGAGGAGGAGCCGAUAAGGGGAGAGCCGAAGAACAGUUUGAGGCAGAAGAAGCGAGUGAAACACAGGACCAAAGGGAGGAGGAGGAGGAGGAGGAGGAGGGGAGCAGACACGUGGAUGAUGAAGAGCAGAUGACGUCCAGGAGAGAUCUAUUUCCACGCACACCUUCUGUCAGCUCCACGGGCAGCUCCACAGAGCCUGACAGAAAGGCUCCCGUGGAUCUCUGUGUCCAAGAAGAGGCCCACAGUGGAAACGUCUCCACUGAGCAUGUGGACUUUCUGUUGGCCCGACAGCAGUGGAGGAAGAUGGAGGAGGAGGUCAAAGGUCAGCCAAUCCCCAAACCAGGCCUCAGAGCUCAGGGGAGCUUCCAGGGCACCCACAGCUCCCUGUACCCGCCCACUCGCAGCCCCCGACUCAAACACAGGGAGAUCCAUCCUGCAGCGGCCAUGGAGCCCACGCUGUCCUCCACCCUGUCCUCCACCCUGUCCCCCGGCUCGGAGGACUCGGGCCUGGAGGAGCCGGAGAGUGCAGUGGAGAGAGAGAUCCGCCGGACUCUGGAGAGGGAGGAAUGCCACCGGAGAGAGAGGGGGGGGGUCACACAGGGCCUCACCGUACCCAGAGCCUCCACCGGGCAGAGCGGACGAUCUCCCCCCAGACCUCCAGCGUGCCGCACCCCUACACUGUCCAUCUCCCCUUCUCCUUCCUCUUCUCUUCCCCGAUCUGUCUACCAUGAGAUGACGGCCAAUAAUGUCAUUAUCCUGGAGCCCGGCUGCUCCGGCUCCACCUCCAGAAACCUCUUACUCUCCUCCGCCACCGAUUGGCCGCUUAGCCAGGAUGCUGUGCCCUCCGCCAACGUCAUCGUCGUUGAGACCUCUAACGUGAUCAUUCGCAGCGCAUCCGAAUUCUGUCUAAGCUCCGCCCCCGUGUCCGCGGAGACCCAGGAGAGCACCUUCUCGUCCAAUCCGUUCUUUAAGCUACGCUCCAUCAGCAGCCAAUCGCUGGUGGAGCGGGAGAUCCGCAUGGUGAGGCAGAGGGAGGAGGAAUGGAGGAGGCAGCGGGAGGAGAUGUGGAGGAGGAGGAGGGAGGAGGAGUGGAGGAGAGGGAGAGAGAGGUACGACACCGUGCUGGUGUCUCCUGGCCUGAGCGAUAACAUCAGCUACAACGUGCCAGAGGUCCUAGAUAGAUGUGUGUCCUCUCCUUCGUCCCCCUCCAGGACCCGCAAAAUGGAAAGAUCCAGCAUGUCUUGUGACCACAAGUUCCCCUCAUCCCUCUCUCUGACGCCGAAGCGACCGAACGCCAUGGCGCAGCGAUGGGAGGCCUCCCUAUUAGCCAAUCAGAAGAAGGAGUGACCAUUUCAAAGCCCACAAUGAGAUCCGACGCCUCCGUUCCUUCCUGCUUCUCUCCAGAAAAGUCACACGGUGUACUGUAAGGUCUUUGAAAAGGUGUGGCUUGAACCCGUGGGUCACAGAUGUGCUGUCUGCGGGACGUCCUGUGAGAAGAGGACUGGUCCUGUCCAACAGCUUUGUUUCAAAGAGUAAGGUUUGGCUUUCCUUAAUGCUUGAACGUCUGAAAAGGUCCUGCUUUCAAACUCAAACUGGUCUGCUGCAUGAUCUGUGAAACAUUGGGGCACAAUGCCACACGUAGGACAUUGUUUAUUAUAGAUAAUAACUUCAUUGACUCAUUCACAAUACUAACCGCAGUCAUAGUACCACCACUGUUUUUGACAUGUCAUGCAGACUUCUAUGUAAACUUUAGAAACACAAUAUUUAUUAUUACCAGUAACACAAUUUGAUUUCGAGCUAUUUAUAAAUGAUGGCAAACAGAUAUGCAUUGAGUUGUAUGACUAUGAAAAAGGUCUUGGCAGUUGCAUUUUAAUUUUAGAUAAAGUAUGAAUUUAGUCCCUAUAUUUUUGAUGUGAUGAACAUAUACAGCGUAUAUUUUACCGUAUUGUAGCUGCGUAGGGGUUUGAGAAGUGACAUUCAAAAAUGAUUUAGCAUGUUCUUUACAAAUGACAAUUCAUAGCAUUUAAGUGCCAACUCAGACUGAAAAAAUCACUGCCUUAAGCCGCUGAGAACAGCACACACACACACACACACACACACACACACACAGAAAGACAAAAAAUGAAUCCAUCAUCCAUUUCGCACAUCAUCUCUUUUCCACAAAGGCAAAACACGUAUUCAAGUAUAAAAAAACUGUCCUAUUUUAUGGAAAAUCAUUUUUUAUGGAAAUGUAAGAAUGGAAACUGGCACAUUCUUUCCCCUUGUUAUGACCCGCCCUACUCCGCCUCUGAUUGGCUGCUCAUCGUGGCCUUUGGUUUGGUUGUGAGAUGAUGAAAAACGGUAGAGCCACAGGGACGGAGCCGGUGGCUCAAUUAGCUUACAGCUAACGGAGGUAUAGUUACUUUGUUACUUUAGCGGUAUUUCAAAAUUAUAUAAUUAACUCGAGUAUUCACAUGGCUUUAAAAAAAGCUGUCAAUUCCACAUUUGUAGCCCAAAGGUUUUAUGCGUGGAGCACACUGUUGUUAUUGCUAUAUAACUGUCCGUGGCUGUGAUGUUCAAGCAAUAUAACUGAAGCACUUCUAAAACAGAGAUUCUAAUCCAGUCUAGUGAAGACUUUUACAUAUUUUAUGUCAUGUUUUGAUUCCUAAAAAGAGAAUUGUUUUAUUGAAUUUGUGCUGCAUAUAUUUAUUGAAUCGGGACAAGCUUAUGAAUCCUUAAAGCUUUUAUUUCUAAAAGGUUCAUAAUAUAUUGUGUCAGAAUGGCUGCAUGAAUUGAAGGUCUGCGAUGUUUUUUAGAUGGAUCUUUUCUGUGGAGUGUGUGUGCGUGAUAAUAAUAAUAAUCCAUCCUCAAUACAUCGUACAUAAAUAGAAAUCCUUCCUCCUUAUUUUGUAGCUCCAGAAGGAGCUCACUGGGUUCCUGAUGAACUCAACUGUCUAUUACAGGUGCAUUCAAGUCAACUCAGAAAUAAGAGACUUCACCUGCCAGGUUGCGAAUAAUACCAGGCGAGUAGAAUGCUAGUGGGUUUUUAUGAAUAUAUUCUGAUUGUGCUCUGAGCAUCGAUGUGAUGUAACACUGUGUUAAGGAAUAAACUCUCCAUCCGCUAAUAAAGUGCAUUUCAGCUGUGAGUUCCUGUGCAGCCUGAAGAUGUGUCCAAACAUCUGACGGGGCUACGAUCUAUACUUUCUGCAAUCAAUUUGCAGAGGUUUGGAUGUUCUUGAAAUGUGCUGUAUUGCAUGUGAAAGAAGUCGGUUACAGUGCGUCCACUCUUCACACUGGCUGUUUCUGCCCCAUCUCACCACACCACACCCAGUGGCAAUGUGAGGAAACGGAAAAACUAUAUACUAUAAUAUUGUGUUGGCAGCAGAAGGACAUGAGCAUCAGUAAAUAUUGGCUUUGUGUGUUUUCUUGCACACUCGAGUCACGUCAGAUGGGGUUGGUACGUUGUUACAUUGUUACAUCGUUUCGCUAUUAUUUUCACACAAUCCUUGAACUUGUUAUUCAAGGCCCAUAUUUAACAUCAUUUUGACGUACCAUGCCAGCGUUGUUUGCAUGUCAUGGUGUUGCUGCGUUAGCUUUGCUGUAUGAAGGCACAGUAGAUAUAUAUAUAUAUAUAUAUAUAUAUAUAUAUAUAUACCUGGUCUGCAUCCAGUUUAGUGGGACAGCUGAACUGAUACUUUAUAACUGUAGUUUUAAGAAGGAUGUGCAUUUGUGAAUACACUGUGUGACAGAAUAUUCCGUACGGCUCCUAGAAACAGCUUUUCCUCACGAGCCGAGCAUCAUUUAUUCAGGUUCUGUUCUUUUCUUAGUUUAUUUGCCUUGCGCUUCAUUCAUUUAUUGUUGCCAAAUGAAAGGUCUUGUGAUGACAUCUUCAAUAAAACGUAACUUCUGAAACCCGCAA